UCAACCAGAUUUAAGAGUUCUCUGGAU
This 27-nucleotide non-coding RNA is filed under the name Rattus norvegicus (Norway rat). Lineage: Eukaryota; Metazoa; Chordata; Mammalia; Rodentia; Muridae. The record is from RNAcentral.